CUGCACUUUUUUUGAGCAAAAUCAGAAAAUGUCCCUGGGAAGUUCCACAGAGCAGUAAACCAUCUGCACAGAGCCACGAAGCAAACUCUGUCUAUUCAGUAACAGGGUCAAAACGGAAUGGGAGAAGGUAUGACAAUGUUACAAAACAAAGGAGUAGAUUUCAUUGUUCGACUUUAGGAGAGUCCAAACUGCUCCCAAGUUUUUAAGGAUAACAAAUUUUGCUCAAAAUAUCAGUUUUUAGACAGUUC
Molecule: long non-coding RNA, 248 nt
Organism: Hyla sarda
Lineage: Eukaryota; Metazoa; Chordata; Amphibia; Anura; Hylidae
Exons: 4
Source: RefSeq, a predicted model, not a curated record